CGGGGCGCAGCAACAGUGGGGAAUAUUGCACAAUGGGCGCAAGCCUGAUGCAGCCAUUCCGCGUGUAUGAAGAAGGCCUUCGGGUUGUAAAGUACUUUCAGCGGGGAGGAAGGGAGUAAAGUUAAUACCUUUGCUCAUUGACGUUACCCGCAGAAGAAGCACCGGCUAACUCCGUGCCAGCAGCCGCGGUAAUACGGAGGGUGCAAGCGUUAAUCGGAAUUACUGGGCGUAAAGCGCACGCAGGCGGUUUGUUAAGUCAGAUGUGAAAUCCCCGGGCUCAACCUGGGAACUGCAUCUGAUACUGGCAAGCUUGAGUCUCGUAGAGGGGGGUAGAAUUCCAGGUGUAGCGGUGAAAUGCGUAGAGAUCUGGAGGAAUACCGGUGGCGAAGGCGGCCCCCUGGACGAAGACUGACGCUCAGGUGCGAAAGCGUGGGGAGCAAACAGGAUUAGAUACCCCAGUAGUC
This 464-nucleotide ribosomal RNA is filed under the name uncultured bacterium. RNAcentral's name for it is "partial 16S ribosomal RNA". It matches the Rfam family "Bacterial small subunit ribosomal RNA", at positions 342 to 795 of the family's 1533-position model. The record is from RNAcentral.